UAGGCAUUUGUCAAAACUCAUCACAUGGUCCACUUAAGUACCAUAUUUUUAAAAAUAAGAAUAUUUUAUCUUUCGUGUCCUAGUUCAAUAUUCUAAUUUGAUAAUCUGGUGAUUAAACGAUGGUAGAUUAAGUCUGUGUCUUAUGACACAUGAGUCAUUCUAAAGAAAAAAGGGUUCUCAAAAUACCUUGGGAGAAAAUGUUAACAGUCAUUAAUUCUGGGUGCCUAGAACCUGGGUGUAUGUUAUAUUAUUAAUUGCAUUGUUCUAUGUUUUUAGUUUUUUUUUUAAAAAAAACCAACCUUGAGAUCAGGGGUUCCCAAUAUUCUUGUAAGGAGGAAUUGGUCUUGGUUUCCCUGAAUCCAGAAGACUUAAAGGAUUGAGACAGUGAAGUUCUUAGAGGGAACUGUGCAGGGGAUUAUGGGAUACUUCAGAGAAGAGGCACCGAAGCAUCAACCAUCUUGGAACUCUGCCAACUAGAACCUCAGACUCAACUGACACAUCCAAACUAAUGGCCGAGUGUCUUUUAGCAGCAUCAAGCAACUCCCUUACAAUACCACCCAAAGUAAUUUUCCUAAAGAAAUUCUCCUUGUAUGUAACUUCAUUCAGGUUCUUGGGGCUUGCCAAGUAGCCAGCAAUGUGACCUUAACUUGGUCAGUUGACCUCUCUGGUCCUAAAUUUCCUAAUCUGCAACAUUUGAAGGUUUAUUUUCUAAAUGUUUUUACUUUAGUACUAAUUUCUGUGAGAUAAUCAAGCUAUUCAAUGUUAGGUUGAGGUACGUAAAUCAUUCCUGCCGGCCUGUGUACGAGGUGGUUCUGGUAUCACUGUGGCCCAGCAUGUGUCUGUCUGUCAGCGUUGGCAGGUGAGUCAUGCUCCAGCUACCUCUCAGAUUCCCAUGGUUUAGAACUAGGGGUGGUGCCUGGGUAGAGGGACCAGUUUUGCUUUGUGGCUCUCACUUGAGAGGCCUGUGGCCUUGACCCUUCCUGAUUCAUGCAGACUGUGCUUGAAAGUAUGAUUAUAAUUUCACUGACCUGUGAAAGGGAGGCAAGAGCGCUUAAAGGGAGAAAUCUAAUUCCCUGUAUUAUUAAACCUUCUACUAAUUUGAAGCUUAAAAUCUCUUAUUUGUGAAUAUCAUUAAUGUGUCUUGGAGUCUGCAAAUGACAAGCAGAAAGGACUUUGAUCCCAUUGACACCAACACCCACCACCACUACCAUUUUACAGAAUAAACAAGACCUACAGAGGGAAAUGCACUGGCCCCAAACCACACUGCUGAUGAGAAUUUUCUGUGAUGAUGACAUGGUGUCUUCUGUAUUGAGUAAAAAGGGAAAAAAAUUACAAAACAGCUUAAAGUACAAGCCAACAUUUUACCAUGACUAAAGGAAGGGGCUCCCAGUCUUGAUUCCCCAUUUCCAUUGCCACCAUCUGGGCCAGGACCACAGACAGGGCUCCUAACUGUUUGUCCUCCUUCUUCCUGCCUGCUCCAAUCUAUUCUACACAUAGGCAACUAGAGGCUCUUUUGACAUGAAAAUCAGUGGCAUCACAGCUCUUCAACAUUCUCUUGUGGUGCACCCUGUUUUUUUCCUUCAUGGCACCACAUUUGCGAUUACAUAUUUUUGUUGUUGUUGUUCAGCGCCUGCCACUCCUUGACAACCUGCAGGGUAACAGAGACAAUGAAGUCCCCGGCACCUAGGCACCCAAUUAAUAUCUGAAUGAAUAAAUAACUACUAACAGGCUAGUGUAAGAGCAGCAUUAAAGUCAACACUUUAAGAGUUAAGGUUUUCUGUUUUUGUACCAAAAGUCCCUGGGGAAAUUACGCAAGUAGGCAGGGAACAGAGAUGGGGAGAUAAUCUAACAAUCCAGAGAAAGGAAGAAACAAAGGGUUUCUCUGCCCCCGUCAUCCUCCAGGCAAGGUCACAGAUGCUGGUUUGAAGGUUCUGAGCCUUGAAAUUUUUUGUCAUGGAGUCACCUGACAUUCAGAUCAAAGGCCAACUCCACUCUAUGUUUGAUGAUCCUUGCAGCAAGCACAGAUCAAGGUUCCCAAGACCUGCAGCAAUUGGAUUACAAGAUUAGAUCAAUUUGCAAAGUCCACCAAGAUCACAGCAGUUGCCAUCCGUUAGGUACCUAUUGUGUGCAAAGUGCUUUGUCUGUAUUAACCCAUUUAAGCCUCUCAAUAAAGGAAGUGUUUAUUAUCCCCAUUUCAGAGUUGAAGAAAUGAAGGCUCAGAGAGAUGAAGUAAUUUGCCUACACUCACACAGCUGGUAAGAAACAGAAUUGGAAUAUGAACCCAUUGCGGAGUCCAUGCCCUUCGCCAUAUCACAUGAUCCAUCAUUAUUCUUGUUUGGCUUUCACAUAUUUUGACCACCGGCAAAAAUAUUGCUUAUUUGUAACAGAUAAAGAUGAACAAGAUGGAGGGGUGCAGGAUGCUUGGUGAAUACGGAACAUACCACCUGUGCUUUGGAACUACCUCACCCACUGUCAUGGCAUGCUAGAAGGGGAUGGAGACCUAGAAAUGGUUCAGACCCUCACUAGUUAAAGUGUGGUCCGUGCACCAGUGGCGUCAGCAUCACCUGGGAACUUGUUAGAAAUGCAGCAUCUUAGGCUCCACCCCAGACCUCCUGACCAGAAUCCCCAUUUUAACACAGUAUGCAGGUGAUGUGGAUGCAUGUUCAAGUUUGGGAAGCACUGGUCGGACCAAAGCCACUGAGACAAGUGAAGUGACCUGUCAACACUGUAGAUUGAAUAACUAGGGAAGGCUGAGGAAUGCAAGUGAAUGUAAAAACCACCUGGAGGGAAGGAAGCAUUGCAGCAAGAAAGGAACAGCAAGUGCAGAGGCCUGAGGCAGAACCAGCGGGGAAAAUGCUUUGAGGUGAGGCAGGCAACGGUGCCAAGAUAUUCGAUGGAGAAAGAAUAAUUGUUUCAACAAAUGGUGCUGGGACAACUGGAUAUUCACAUGCAAAAGAAUGAAGUCGGAUCCCUGCCUCAUGCAUAUGUGUGUGUGUGUGUGUGUGUAUAAAUUUAUAUGACAGACACUGUCCUUUGUGUUAUAGAUGUACACAUCACCACCAUCACCUAUGAAGCAGUCAGGGUUUUUUCCCCAAUAGUUCCCUGGUUAGUUUGAAGCAGUCUUGUAAAAAGGAAAAUCAAAUCUGAAUCUGAGCAGAUUAUAUUCUGGGGCUGUAAUGAGACUAUAGGAAACUCUGCUAUGGGGAAUCUGGGUUCUUCAAUAAAUAAUUUCAAGAAAGGAAAAGAGAUAGAAGGAGAAUCUAUAGAUUAAAAGAGACAUAGGCAUUUCAUCAGAGGCAAUGUAAGAAUGUUUCUAUUAUAUAUUACAUAUUAUAUAUUCAUUCAUUCAUUUAUCCAACACACAUAUACACAUACUGCUUCCCUACACGAUGCCAGGUACUAUUCCACACACAAAGGAUCCAGCAAAAUGUACAAAAAUUCUAGCCCUUGGCUGGGCACGGUGGCUCAUACCUGUAAUCUCAGCAUUCCAGGAGCCAAGGCUGGCAGGUCACUUGAAGUCAAGAGUUUAAGACCAGCCUGGCCAACAUGGUGAAACCCAGUCUCAAUUAAAAC
Molecule: long non-coding RNA, 3573 nt
Organism: Cercocebus atys (sooty mangabey)
Lineage: Eukaryota; Metazoa; Chordata; Mammalia; Primates; Cercopithecidae
Exons: 3
Source: RefSeq, a predicted model, not a curated record